GUGCAAACUGUCGCGUGUUUUUCUGUGAUAGUUUCGUGAUGAGUGAAACGAAAAGAAAAAAAAAAAAGCGAAGUGUGUGCUAAGAAGACGUAGCGUGGUUGGACAAACUCUUGAAAAACAACAACAACAACAACAACAACAACAACAACAGCAGCAGCAGCAGCAGCAGCAGCAGCAUCACUCAACAACAAGAACACCAAUAACGACAACAACAGCAACCACGAGAAAGACAAGAGUCGCAGUGCGUCUCAAGAUCAGCCAAGCUUCAUCUCGCUGUCUGUCGUCACCGUGCUUCAUGGCUACGCUCUGCGCCCUUCUACUACCUUCACUCUUCCUCAUCUCUUGUCUGCUGUCUUCUGCAGCACAACUUCAUGUACUCCCGCUCCAUCUCAGCGAUAAUACCUAUUUCUGAGGUCUUUCUUCAACUCCUGAAGUAUUGUGCACCACUCGCGGUCUCCAUGCCCGUGUCGGACGUGUUUCUCAGCUCCCCGGGAAGUGUGGGACAGUCGCCGUCUGCUGGUGUCUUAGAAAUGCAUUGUCUCUACACGCAAAAGACGUGUGGCAGUGUAUUACCUUUAAGCCUUAACAUGUAAUUGUCUUUGUACUUGUCCAAGUUUUUUUUUAUACUGUAUUGCUAAUGCGUCCCGCUCCAUCCACCAUGUUGUGUGCGGUAUGUAGCUACAGCUGAAUACUGAUGUGAAGUACCAACGAGUGUCACCAAUUGUGUCAUUAAUGCAUUACUUUGGUAAUUGUGUAAUCGACAAAUUGAUGAAAAAACCUUGUCAAUAAAUGGCA
This is a long non-coding RNA of Portunus trituberculatus (swimming crab), 795 nucleotides long. RefSeq lists it as uncharacterized. The record is from RefSeq and is a predicted model, not a curated record. NCBI's taxonomy places the organism in Eukaryota, Metazoa, Arthropoda, Malacostraca, Decapoda, Portunidae. The transcript is spliced from 2 exons.